RNAcentral lists this ribosomal RNA (301 nucleotides) under uncultured bacterium. Its description in RNAcentral is "partial 16S ribosomal RNA". It matches the Rfam family "Bacterial small subunit ribosomal RNA", at positions 509 to 808 of the family's 1533-position model. The record is from RNAcentral.
CAGUAGCCGCGGGAAUACGUAUGUCACGAGCGUUAUCCGGAUUUAUUGGGCGUAAAGCGCGUCUAGGUGGUUAUUUAAGUCAGAUGUGAAAAUGCAGGGCUCAACUCUGUAUUGCGUUGGAAACUGUGUAACUAGAGUACUGGAGAGGUAAGCGGAACUACAAGUGUAGAGGUGAAAUUCGUAGAUAUUUGUAGGAAUGUCGAUGGGGAAGCCAGCUUACUGGACAGAUACUGACGCUAAAGCGCGAAAGCGUGGGUAGCAAACAGGAUUAGAUACCCCAGUAGUCCCUGUCUCUUAUACA